RNAcentral lists this ribosomal RNA (510 nucleotides) under Klebsiella aerogenes. RNAcentral's name for it is "bacterial SSU rRNA". It matches the Rfam family "Bacterial small subunit ribosomal RNA", at positions 20 to 521 of the family's 1533-position model. The record is from RNAcentral. Lineage: Bacteria; Pseudomonadati; Pseudomonadota; Gammaproteobacteria; Enterobacterales; Enterobacteriaceae.
UGGCUCAGAUUGAACGCUGGCGGCAGGCCUAACACAUGCAAGUCGAGCGGUAGCACAGAGAGCUUGCUCUCGGGUGACGAGCGGCGGACGGGUGAGUAAUGUCUGGGAAACUGCCUGAUGGAGGGGGAUAACUACUGGAAACGGUAGCUAAUACCGCAUAACGUCGCAAGACCAAAGUGGGGGACCUUCGGGCCUCAUGCCAUCAGAUUUGCCCAGAUGGGAUUAGCUAGUAGGUGGGGUAAUGGCUCACCUAGGCGACGAUCCCUAGCUGGUCUGAGAGGAUGACCAGCCACACUGGAACUGAGACACGGUCCAGACUCCUACGGGAGGCAGCAGUGGGGAAUAUUACACAAUGGGCGCAAGCCUGAUGCAGCCAUGCCGCGUGUAUGAAGAAGGCCUUCGGGUUGUAAAGUACUUUCAGCGAGGAGGAAGGCGUUAAGGUUAAUAACCUUGGUGAUUGACGUUACUCGCAGAAGAAGCACCGGCUAACUCCGUGCCAGCAGCCGCGGU